UACGGAGGGUGCAAGCGUUAAUCGGAAUUACUGGGCGUAAAGGGUCUGUAGGUGGCCAACUAAGUCAGACGUGAAAUCCCUCAGCUUAACUGGGGAACUGCGUCUGAUACUGGAUGGCUUGAGUGUGGGAGAGGAAUGCGGAAUUCCAGGUGUAGCGGUGAAAUGCGUAGAUAUCUGGAGGAACACCGGUGGCGAAGGCGGCAUUCUGGACCAUAACUGACACUGAGAGACGAAAGCCAGGGGAGCAAACGGG
This 253-nucleotide ribosomal RNA is filed under the name uncultured bacterium. Its description in RNAcentral is "partial 16S ribosomal RNA". It matches the Rfam family "Bacterial small subunit ribosomal RNA", at positions 524 to 776 of the family's 1533-position model. The record is from RNAcentral.